This 566-nucleotide long non-coding RNA is filed under the name Salvator merianae (Argentine black and white tegu). Its description in RNAcentral is "lncRNA (ENSSMRG00000014852.1)". The record is from RNAcentral. Lineage: Eukaryota; Metazoa; Chordata; Lepidosauria; Squamata; Teiidae.
CUGGACGAAAAAGGGCCUCGGAAGAAAGAGUCUAGACGAAGUCGACGCGGUUUCCUAGCGGCUUAAAGGGAGUGGCUGUAUUGUCUCAGGGAAAAAGAGUGGAAGCGUGGUGUUCUAAGAAAUGGACAAUAACGAUCUGAAGACGUAUGAAUAUGAAAUCUGCUCUUUAGAGAAUGAAAUUAAGAAGUUAACAGAAGAGUAUGAACGCAGGCAACAUGAGGCAAUGGCUUAUUCUGAUGGGGAGAUAAUGAAGACAGUGAAAUCAUUGAAAAGAAAAUCCCCAGAAGAACCAAAGCAAUGUGACUCUUUUCCAGCCUUGAAACAUCAGCUUGAUUUAUUGGAGUCUGAUCUCUCAUUCAUAAUGAAAUUUACAGGCAUUUGUCUUACACAUUAUACUAGAAAACUUGUGGAGCAAAUAAAAUGAUGGGUUGGCAAAUCUAUGGAAGACUCAGUGUGCUCAGUGUCUGCUAGUUGUGGUUGCUGUGUAUUUCCUCCAGUGUGAAAGCUGCUGGAGAAGACAUAAGGAAGAGUGUUGUUUGAGUCCUGGUUUCCUUAUAAGCUUCCUG